RNAcentral lists this long non-coding RNA (1431 nucleotides) under Mus spicilegus (steppe mouse). Its description in RNAcentral is "lncRNA (ENSMSIG00000018442.1)". The record is from RNAcentral. Lineage: Eukaryota; Metazoa; Chordata; Mammalia; Rodentia; Muridae.
GUGGUGGUACUCAGAAGAACAUUACUGUGAGGUUGGGAGGGCUGAGGGUGAAAGGGGUGCAGACAGGAGCACAAACCACACCUGUGUCAAAAUUGGCCUUUCUUCGAUCUUGCCAGCAGUAUGCAUACAGUAGGUGCUCACUGUGUGCUACCACUGAAAAACAUAUCCUCAUCUGGUUUGGAGAUGUGAAAUUCUCUCUGCCCCACCCCUCCUCCUUAUCUCUCAAUUCUGCUUGCAUCUCAGGUUCCCUCUGGGUCCUUGGUGGACUACGACUUUGGAGGAAAUCAAUUCUAACCCUGGAUUUGCCAGUGCCUGACAGAUGUGGAGAGCACCUGAAUCAUGGCAUGCCUUGGUUUCCCCCUCAUUCAACUGCCUUUGUAGAUCAUGUUUUAAAACCUUCCACGUCUGGCGUUGGGAACGCAGCGGCGGCUUGGUGGUGGAUAGCAGGAGGCAAAGACUGGAUCCAUCACCUCUCUGUCACGUCCCUCACAGGAGCAUGGCAGCACACGCCGGUAAUUCAGGUGAUAUAGGUAAGAGGACCAAGAGGUUGAGGCUUGGGCUACAUAGUAAGACCUGCCUUAAGAAAGCAACGGUAACAACAAAACCAACCAGCAGUGAGGGCUCUGUAGGUAGAUCAAUGACGGCAUGCCUCCCUAAUGUGCACAGGUUAUGGGGACUGCCUUCCUUUCCAGUCAGGCCACAUGGUUAGGACUGGAAAAGAAUCAGUCACUUGUGGUGGAGGUAGAAUUGUUCACAAAGGAAGUCUUUCUCCCACAUUUCCAGCUCCCAUGCAGAUGGCAUAAGUGGGUGAAUUGUUUUGGUCAAGGGGCUUCUUGAAGGCAAAACUACAAGAGCCAGCGGGUGGAAUAACAUGGCCAGCUCUCUCCCCUUCCCCUCCUUAGGUGAUUACCUCACACGGGGUGCAGGACACAGAAAUAUGGGAUGGAAAGCUACCUGCAUGAGUUUCAUAGAUCCGACAGGCUUCUUGAGAGUAAGGAACGAACACUUGCUGUGGCUAAAGAACCAAGACCGCGGGAGCUGUUACAGCGGCAUAAGCCUAACCUACCUGCGCCUACAAACGCCGCUAGGUGCUUAGUUUGGUGGCUCCUCUCCUCUUCCUCAGGGUUCAGAAAUGGCAAGUCUAUGCCUUGCUCUUCCCGCCUUCCCAGCCUUCCCAGCCUCCCAUCCACUCGGGCUUAGCUCUGUGAUGACUGACUCUCUGUGAGGCCAUUGUGAUCUUUGUAUUAGGGUUGCAGUGUGGAAAUGAAUUGUGUUGUUUGCGUACGUGUCACCACCGACUACUUCUUGUUGAAAUAGACUGUAACAAGUGGUUGAAGUCUCCACUGGAGGGUAAUUUAUAUUUAUUUGAGCUGCCACCAAGUCCUUAUUUAGUUUGCAUAAACUACCCAGGACAGGAGAGGAAUCUCCCUG